AUCCAGAUGACGAGUCCAAAAUAGGACAAAAUGCGUAUCCUAGAU
Non-coding RNA from Trichobilharzia regenti, 45 nucleotides. NCBI's taxonomy places the organism in Eukaryota, Metazoa, Platyhelminthes, Trematoda, Strigeidida, Schistosomatidae. The record is from Rfam.